GUUAACCGAGUACAUGAAAUAAAAUGACAGUUUCAGAAAUGUUAUUUAUAUUUAUCUAUAUAUCUGACAGUGCUUGGUUUGGGAACGGCUUUGGGUUUGUGCGCACUUCUGAUUUUCUGUCUCAUUUAUUUCACACUGAGGAGAAGAAAACGUGAUAAAAUGAACGCCUCUAUAGACGACUCUCACGGAACGAGACAGGAAUCUCAUUUCAACACCUUGAAUUAUGAAACUUUGCAAUUCUUCAUGAAUAAAGUCAAACCUGGAGGAAGGGAUGAUUUGGUGUACUCUGAUGUGAUGUAUGUGACACUGUAAUAUAUAACAUAAACGACCCAGAACACAUGUUAAUAUUAGCUGAACUUCUGCUAUACUAAAGUUUAGUUGUUGUUAUCUUUUUUUUUA
Molecule: long non-coding RNA, 399 nt
Organism: Ictalurus punctatus (channel catfish)
Lineage: Eukaryota; Metazoa; Chordata; Actinopteri; Siluriformes; Ictaluridae
Exons: 3
Source: RefSeq, a predicted model, not a curated record